RNAcentral lists this unclassified non-coding RNA (292 nucleotides) under Hevea brasiliensis (rubber tree). The record is from RNAcentral. Lineage: Eukaryota; Viridiplantae; Streptophyta; Magnoliopsida; Malpighiales; Euphorbiaceae.
UAAAGUUUGAAAUUUUAAAAUUAAAGAUUUUAAAGUUUAAAUCAAGCAAAAUCAAGCCAAUCUAUCUACAAUCUAAGAAUACCAAAGGUUUAUACAGAUUGCAAUUCUUGAAAUAUGAUUCAAGAAAUCCUAAAUUUUCAUAUUUGAUUAUAACUUGAAUUCAUAUGAAAAUAACAUGUUCUUUCUAGUAUAAUUUUUAAGAUUAACACUAAAUUAUAUCUUAUUAUCCAAAAAUAAUGAACUUGGAAUGGAAGACAUCCAUUUCCAUUCCAUUUGAAAAGUGAGGGAAAAA